GACAGAGGGUGCAAACGUUGUUCGGAAUUACUGGGCGUAAAGCGCGUGUAGGCUGCUUGGAAAGUCGGGUGUGAAAGCCCUGGGCUCAACCCAGGAAGUGCACUCGAAACUUCCGAGCUCGAGUUCUGGAGAGGAUAGCGGAAUUCUCGGUGUAGAGGUGAAAUUCGUAGAUAUCGAGAGGAACACCGGUGGCGAAGGCGGCUAUCUGGACAGAAACUGACGCUGAGACGCGAAAGCGUGGGGAGCAAACAGG
This 253-nucleotide ribosomal RNA is filed under the name uncultured bacterium. Its description in RNAcentral is "partial 16S ribosomal RNA". It matches the Rfam family "Bacterial small subunit ribosomal RNA", at positions 524 to 776 of the family's 1533-position model. The record is from RNAcentral.